This 440-nucleotide ribosomal RNA is filed under the name uncultured bacterium. Its description in RNAcentral is "partial 16S ribosomal RNA". It matches the Rfam family "Bacterial small subunit ribosomal RNA", at positions 338 to 795 of the family's 1533-position model. The record is from RNAcentral.
CCUACGGGAGGCAGCAGUGGGGGAUAUUGCACAAUGGGGGAAACCCUGAUGCAGCGACGCCGCGUGUGGGAAGACGGUCCUCUGGAUUGUAAACCACUGUCCCCAGGGACGAAAAUGACGGUACCUGGGGAGGAAGCUCCGGCUAACUACGUGCCAGCAGCCGCGGUAAUACGUAGGGAGCGAGCGUUGUCCGGAAUUACUGGGUGUAAAGGGAGCGUAGGCGGGGAUGCAAGUUGGGUGUCAAAACUACCGGCUCAACUGGUAGUCGCACUCAAAACUGCAGCUCUUGAGUGAAGUAGAGGCAGGCGGAAUUCCUAGUGUAGCGGUGAAAUGCGUAGAUAUCAGGAGGAACACCGGUGGCGAAGGCGGCCUGCUGGACUGCAACUGACGUUGAGGCCCGAAAGCGUGGGGAGCAAACAGGAUUAGAUACCCGUGUAGUC